This 573-nucleotide ribosomal RNA is filed under the name uncultured Meiothermus sp. RNAcentral describes it as "bacterial SSU rRNA". It matches the Rfam family "Bacterial small subunit ribosomal RNA", at positions 518 to 1093 of the family's 1533-position model. Lineage: Bacteria; Thermotogati; Deinococcota; Deinococci; Thermales; Thermaceae. The record is from RNAcentral.
CGGUAAUACGGAGGGUGCGAGCGUUACCCGGAUUUACUGGGCGUAAAGGGCGUGUAGGCGGUUAUGUAAGUCCGAUGUGAAAGACCGAAGCUCAACUUCGGGGACGCGUUGGAUACUGCAAGACUAGACGGCUGGAGGGGGUAGCGGAAUUUCCGGAGUAGCGGUGAAAUGCGCAGAUACCGGAAGGAACGCCAAUAGCGAAGGCAGCUACCUGGACAGCACGUGACGCUGAGGCGCGAAAGCGUGGGGAGCAAACCGGAUUAGAUACCCGGGUAGUCCACGCCCUAAGCGAUGAGUGCUGGGUGUCCGGCGUAUGCUGGGUGCCGAAGCCAACGCGUUAAGCACUCCGCCUGGGAAGUACGGUCGCAAGACUGAAACUCAAAGGAAUUGACGGGGGCCCACACAAGCGGUGGAGCAUGUGGUUUAAUUCGAAGGAACGCGAAGAACCUUACCAGGCCUUGACAUCUGGGGGAUGUUGGUGAAAGCCGACGGUGCCCGCAAGGGAACCCCAAGACAGGUGCUGCAUGGCUGUCGUCAGCUCGUGUCGUGAGAUGUUGGGUUAAGUCCCGCAAC